RNAcentral lists this ribosomal RNA (301 nucleotides) under uncultured bacterium. RNAcentral describes it as "partial 16S ribosomal RNA". It matches the Rfam family "Bacterial small subunit ribosomal RNA", at positions 509 to 809 of the family's 1533-position model. The record is from RNAcentral.
CAGUAGCCGCGGGAAAACGAAGGGGGCUAGCGUUGUUCGGAUUUACUGGGCGUAAAGCGCACGUAGGCGGAUCGAUCAGUCAGGGGUGAAAUCCCAGAGCUCAACUCUGGAACUGCCUUUGAUACUGUCGAUCUGGAGUAUGGAAGAGGUGAGUGGAAUUCCGAGUGUAGAGGUGAAAUUCGUAGAUAUUCGGAGGAACACCAGUGGCGAAGGCGGCUCACUGGUCCAUUACUGACGCUGAGGUGCGAAAGUGUGGGGAGCAAACAGGAUUAGAUACCCCUGUAGUCCCUGUCUCUUAUAU